This 519-nucleotide ribosomal RNA is filed under the name uncultured Scutellospora. RNAcentral describes it as "SSU rRNA". It matches the Rfam family "Eukaryotic small subunit ribosomal RNA", at positions 571 to 1092 of the family's 1831-position model. The record is from RNAcentral. Lineage: Eukaryota; Fungi; Glomeromycota; Glomeromycetes; Diversisporales; Gigasporaceae.
CAGCCGCGGGUAAUUCCAGCUCCAAUAGCGUAUAUUAAAGUUGUUGCAGUUAAAAAGCUCGUAGUUGAAUUUCGGGAUUCUUCCGUUGGUCAGGCUAACAAGUCUGUAAUAGCGUGUAGAAUCUCUACCUUCUGGGGAACCAUCAUGUUAUUAAUUUAGCGUGGUGGGAAACCAGGACCUUUACCUUGAAAAAAUUAGAGUGUUCAAAGCAGGCUUACGUCUGAAUACAUUAGCAUGGAAUAAUAAAAUAGGACGGUGGUCCUGUUUUGUUGGUUUCUGAAUCACCGUAAUGAUUAAUAGGGAUAGUUGGGGGCAUUAGUAUUAAAUUGUCAGAGGUGAAAUUCUUGGAUUUAUUGAAGACUAACUUCUGCGAAAGCAUUUGCCAAGGAUGUUUUCAUUAAUCAAGAACGAAAGUUAGGGGAUCGAAGACGAUCAGAUACCGUCGUAGUCUUAACCAUAAACUAUGCCGACUAGGGAUCGGACGAUGUUAAAUUUUAUUGACUCGUUCGGCGCCUUACG